AGAGGGUUUUCACGGCGCGUCAUCAGCGCGUCAUCAAUCCGGCAGUCGCCAUGUUGGAGGUACUCGGCAAGUUGUCAGAGGAAAGGAGGCGCUUGUGGUUAGCGAAGCUGAACCAGGAUCUACGUGGCAAAAAUCUGGACAACGUCCGAAUUUGUUUGGCCCAUUUCUUGUCAGGUAAAAGGUCUGACCUUUAUCAAAAGGAUGACCCAGAUUGGGUGCCAUCUGUCGGAAUGACAGGUCAGCAAAGGUCUCCUGAAAAAGCUGGGACAUCAUCACGCUACAGCCGUCGUGGGAAUAGAACCCAGCAGAGACUGAGAGAAGCUGCUGCUGAUGCUGCUGCUGGUGCUGGAGUUGCUGCAGAGACUGAUGAUUCUGAGACUGAUGACCCUACUACAAGUGGUUAUAUCAGCAGCAAUUUGUGCAGCACAGAGACUCAAAGUGAAUUGACUGGUGAUUUAAUUGAGGCUAUGACCAGCGAACUUCAAAAUCUUAGAACUGAAAACAUCCAGUUGUGCUCUGAUGUUGCACAUUUGUCCACUACCUAUGACCAAAGUGCAUUUGUUGAUAAUGAUGAAAAGGUUUUAUUUUUCACUGGCCUACC
Long non-coding RNA from Gadus morhua (Atlantic cod), 601 nucleotides. RefSeq lists it as uncharacterized. The transcript is spliced from 3 exons. Lineage: Eukaryota; Metazoa; Chordata; Actinopteri; Gadiformes; Gadidae. The record is from RefSeq and is a predicted model, not a curated record.